Molecule: long non-coding RNA, 828 nt
Organism: Armigeres subalbatus
Lineage: Eukaryota; Metazoa; Arthropoda; Insecta; Diptera; Culicidae
Exons: 2
Source: RefSeq, a predicted model, not a curated record
UGGUGGGUCGCGAAAGACAAAUCUUAAUUCAUAAUUUUGUUACUAUUCUGUCCCACAAAUCUAUUCCAUAUUUAGAAUUAGAAUCUAACUACACGUAAAAAAAAUUAAUUAAUAUAUUUAUUAAAUUUCGUUUUUAUUAUCAAUUAGAUGUUGAAUAUGAUUAUCAUAACAAAUCUGAAUUAUGCUUAUUUAGAGUGCAUAUAUUGAGUAUUAUCGUAUCGAAUGAAAAGUAUAAGUUUUGCUUAAUGGCAAAAUUGUAUUAAGCAAAACUUAUACUUUUGACUACGUUGCGAUAUGAGAGAGAAAAAACAGUCGUCAGUGGUAUUCAUUCUGCUGCUGGAGGAAAAGUGUUGCAGAGAAAAAAGUGUGAAAAUGCAAUAAAAAUGUUAUUCUGAGCCGCUCCGGGGAUGGUUUGCCGUGAAAUUCGAUGCAACCUCAUCGGGAACUACCGACUACACGAUCUUAUGAGGACGCGCAUGCUAAGCCCGAUCCAGAUUGUACGGAAAGUUAAGCAGUCGUGGUGGAGCAUAAAAACGAUGCUGAUUCCCUAGGCGGGUCCAUCCGGCAGUACGGCCGUAGAAUGCCGGGGAGUUAAUCUGUGAAACGUUAUAUAGUUUUCAUCGCACAUUAGGUAUACAAUCCAUCGAGCUUUUCGAUACCGACACCGGAGAAUUGCAAGCGGUGCAUAAGGAAGAUUAUUUGGAUCCCCUUAAUGUGCAGCGUUUCAUGUGUUUACCGCAAACAGGAAUCUUCCGAGCAUCCAGUGCGGUGUUUCGUUUGCAAUACUGCCAAUAAUAACAUGAUUGUUAAUAAACAAAAUGCCUAAGA